AACUGUAUAGUCUAAUAAAGACGUUAAAUUGCAAAUUUAAAAAUAAAUAGAAAUUUUAUAGUUU
RNAcentral lists this transfer RNA (64 nucleotides) under Anthonomus rectirostris. RNAcentral describes it as "tRNA-Cys". The record is from RNAcentral. Lineage: Eukaryota; Metazoa; Arthropoda; Insecta; Coleoptera; Curculionidae.